GAUGAACGCUGGCGGCGUGCUUAACACAUGCAAGUCGAACGGAAAGGCUCCUGCUUGCAGGGGUACUCGAGUGGCGAACGGGUGAGUAACACGAGGGUGAUCUGCCCUGCACUUCGGGAUAAGCCUGGGAAACUGGGUCUAAUACCGGAUAGGACGAUGGAUUGGAUGCAAUUGUGGAAAGUUUUUCGGCGUGGGAUGAGGUCGCGGCCUAUCAGCUUGUUGGUGGGGUAAUGGCCUACGAAGGCGUCGACGGGUAGCCGGCCUGAGAGGGUGUACGGCGACAUUGGGACUGAGAGACGGCCCAGUCUCCUACGGGAGGCAGCAGUGGGGAAUAUUACACAAUGGGCGCAAGCCUGAUGCAGCGACGCCGCGUGGGGGAUGACGGCCUUCGGGUUGUAAACUCCUUUCGCUAGGGACGAAGCGCAAGUGACGGUACCUGGAGAAGAAGCACCGGCUAACUACGUG
Molecule: ribosomal RNA, 465 nt
Filed under: uncultured bacterium
Lineage: Bacteria
Description: partial 16S ribosomal RNA
Rfam family: Bacterial small subunit ribosomal RNA
Source: RNAcentral